UGAUGUGAGGGUGACCUGAAUGUGACACCUGUCACCCCAUUCAUCGCCACAGUUGACUCAGCUAAUCCAGAUGACUAGGUGGCUGUCUCCUUCCUCUCUCAUGGCUCCAUGUGUUUGCCUCUCAAAGCUGCAUGCCAGGUUGAAGAGAAUGACCUUCCCUCAACAGAGAAGAACAGCUCUCGGUGGAGGAGGUAAGAGUAGUUGUACUCCACUGAUGGAACCUCCAAAUAUGCUCUCAACAAAAGGCAGCUUAUGUGUCAAUCAAUUAAGUACUGAUUGGAAAUUUGGCCAGUCUACAUAUAC
This is an unclassified non-coding RNA of Mesocricetus auratus (golden hamster), 303 nucleotides long. Its record names the gene 7SK. It matches the Rfam family "7SK RNA". From Rfam's summary of the family: 7SK was discovered as an abundant small nuclear RNA in the mid-70s but a possible function has only recently been suggested. Two independent studies have found that 7SK RNA binds the CDK9/cyclin T complex (known as elongation factor P-TEFb). The record is from Ensembl. Lineage: Eukaryota; Metazoa; Chordata; Mammalia; Rodentia; Cricetidae.